Molecule: RNA transcript, 2889 nt
Organism: Phacochoerus africanus (Common warthog)
Lineage: Eukaryota; Metazoa; Chordata; Mammalia; Artiodactyla; Suidae
Gene: SLC22A15
Gene name: solute carrier family 22 member 15
Exons: 12
Source: RefSeq, a predicted model, not a curated record
ACGCCGCGCCGGGCUGGGAGCCGGCGGGGCCGAGCCGGUGCCGGGCGCCGUGGGGCUCGCGCGCUGGGCCCGCCGCGGAGGGCCGCGCCGGAGCAGGGGCGGUAGAAGGGCAGGCCGGGGCCGGGCUCCUGCUGGCGGCGGGGCCGAGGCGGAGCGCGCGGCCCGCCAUGGAGGUGGAGGAGGCGUUCCAGGCAGUGGGCGAGAUGGGCAUCUACCAGAUGUACCUGUGCUUCCUGCUGGCGGUGCUGCUGCAGCUCUACGUGGCCACGGAAGCCAUCCUCAUUGCGCUGGUCGGGGCCACGCCGUCCUACCACUGGGACCUGGCAGAGCUCCUGCCCAACCAGAGCCACAGCAACCAGUCGGUCCGGGAAGAGCAGGCGCUGGGGGCCUGGCUCCUGACGGCCAACGGCAGCGAGAUCCACAAGCACGUGCACUUCAGCGGCAGCUUCACCUCCAUUGCCUCUGAGUGGUUUUUAAUUGCCAACAGAUCCUACAAAGUCAGUGCAGCAAGCUCCUUUUUCUUCAGCGGUGUGUUCGUGGGAGUUAUCUCUUUUGGGCAACUCUCAGAUCGCUUUGGAAGGAAAAAAGUCUAUCUCACAGGUUUUGCUCUCGACAUCUUAUUUGCUAUCGCAAAUGGGUUCUCCCCCACAUAUGAGUUCUUUGCAAUAACUCGCUUCCUGGUGGGCGUGAUGAAUGGAGGGAUGUCCCUGGUGGCCUUUGUCCUGCUGAACGAAUGUGUGGGCACCGCCUACUGGGCACUGGCAGGGUCCAUCGGUGGCCUCUUCUUCGCAGUUGGCAUUGCCCAGUAUGCCCUGUUGGGAUAUUUCAUCCGCUCCUGGAGGACCCUCGCCGUUCUGGUUAACCUGCAGGGAACCGUGGUGUUUCUCUUAUCUUUAUUCAUUCCUGAAUCACCCCGUUGGUUAUACUCCCAGGGUCGACUGCGAGAGGCCGAAGCAGCCCUGUACCUCAUUGCCAGGAGGAACCGCCAGCUCAGGUGCACCUUCUCUCUAACACACCCGGCCAACAGGAGCUGCAAGGAAACCGGAAGUUUCCUGGACCUGUUCCGCUACCGGGUCCUCUUGGGGCACACGCUGACCCUCAUGUUCAUCUGGUUUGUGUGCAGUUUGGUGUAUUAUGGCCUAACUCUGAGCGCAGGAGAUCUAGGUGGAAAUAUUUAUGCCAACUUGGCCCUGUCUGGCCUCAUAGAGAUUCCAUCUUACCCCAUCUGCAUCUACUUGAUUAACCAAAAAUGGUUUGGUCGGAAGCGGACAUUAGCAGCAUUUCUGUGCCUGGGAGGACUGGCUUGUCUUAUUGUCAUGUUUCUUCCAGAAAAAAAAGACACAGGUGUGUUCGCCGUGGUGAACAGCCAUUCCUUGUCCCUGCUGGGGAAGCUGACCAUCAGUGCUGCCUUCAACGUGGUCUAUAUCUACACCUCGGAGCUAUACCCCACUGUCAUCAGGAACGUCGGGCUUGGAACUUGUUCCAUGUUCUCCCGAGUUGGUGGGAUUAUCGCUCCCUUCAUCCCCUCACUGGUUGAAGUACGUGCAGUGGUCUUUACCCUUCAUCGUCUUUGGCGCCACAGGGCUGACCUCAGGCCUCCUGAGUUUAUUAUUACCCGAAACCCUUAACAGUCCGUUGCUGGAGACGUUUUCUGACCUUCAGGUGUAUUCCUAUCGGAGGCUGGGGGAGGAGGCGUUAUCUUUGCAGACCUUGGAUCCCCCUCAGUCUGCGGGCAAGGACAGCCCUUUAGGGAGCGAGAGUGAGGAAGAAGAAGAGUUUUACGACGCGGAUGAAGAGACUCAGAUGAUCAAGUGAAAAGCCCCAGACUCCCUCUCGGAAGCAGAGGACCAGCGCCCCCGGUGAGAACCCCUUCUCCCAGGAGCCUGGAGGGGGCUGUGGAAAGAUUGGCUUGAACAAACGCAGACGGUGCUCCGCGUGGCCUGAUGUCUUUGAGGCACCGAGGAAGCUGGAGAAGCGACUUCAUGAACGAGGACAACCCUGCCUCCAGUGAAGAGCUGUUCCUUUGCCCCCAGUUCUGCUUUAGCUCAGAAUCAUGACCGCUGGCCAGACAACUGUCAUCCACAUGCCAGGGUCAGUAAGCUAAUGUGUUUCCAGAAGUUGGAUUGGUUUUCAGUUUCAUCGUGACCUGAAGGCAAAUAUGUAAAACGUCUUCUCACCAUGAAGAUGUAACCUGUGCACCAUAUCUGACGUCCGCCCCUCUCACUUGCUCCUCACCAGGAAUCCUUGGAGGCAAGUUGGUGUUCGCGUUUCAUUUUUGUGCCGGAGGAGAAGCUCAGAGAGGUCAUUUGUGUGGCCCGUGGGUUUCCAGCGUCUCCCUAACUGAUGGGAUUGGGGCCCUCAACACAAAGGCUUGAGUGCCUUGUGCUUUGGGUCCCCCCCCAGGGGACCUGCUAGGAAAAGCCAGCUGUUCCAAAGUGAUGUUCUCAGAGUCCAAAGCGCGGCUGCAUUUCCCUGUGUGAUUUUGUCACGUCCCACCUGUGUGCGCGCCUCUAGAAAAAGUUCCAUCUCAGACUCUAGUACCAGCAAUAACUUCCAAACUAUGCCUGGUGAAUGAUCAAGCUUUAUAAGGGGGGUGGGCUGUUAAAAAGUGGCUUGUUGAGCACAUUUCCAUGUUAAAAAAGGGAAAAAAAUGUGCUGUUUUUAAUAAGGAAGAAAAGGAAUUACCUUUCCCAGUUUUCUGUUUUGUUGUCAGUGUGGUGCAGGGAGCGACUUGAGCAGCAUUUCAGAACUCUUCUAGUCCUAGAUCGGCCCCCGGCCUGUUUAGUUAGCUUGAAUGGAAGGCACAGUGACGUCAUAGGAAAUACUAGUUUUCAUUAAGACUUACCAGCCUUCAAAUAAAUGGAAAUCAUACUCAGUUUCCUAAAAUCA